Non-coding RNA from Acanthosepion pharaonis, 110 nucleotides. NCBI's taxonomy places the organism in Eukaryota, Metazoa, Mollusca, Cephalopoda, Sepiida, Sepiidae. The record is from the annotation of a GenBank genome assembly.
GGCCAAGUCAUGUUGAAACAUUAGUUCCUGUACAUUCACUGAAGUUAAACAAUGGUGAGCUUGGUCAGUACCUAGAUGGGUGACCACUUGGGAGUACCAGGUGUUGUAUG